AGGACGAACGCUGGCGGCGUGCUUAACACAUGCAAGUCGAACGAGGUCCAACCUGUCGCAAGACAGGGGAAGACCGAGUGGCGAACGGGUGAGUAACACGUGAGGAACGUGCCCCGGAGACCGGGAUAACAGCGGGAAACCGCUGCUAAUACCGGAUACCUUCUUUUGAUCGCAUGGUCAGCUGAAGAAAUGGAUUCCGCUCCGGGAGCGCCUCGCGGUCUAUCAGCUUGUUGGUGGGUAACGGCCCACCAAGGCUUCGACGGAUAGCUGGUCUGAGAGGACGAUCAGCCACACUGGGACUGAGACACGGCCCAGACUCCUACGGGAGGCAGCAGUGGGGAAUCUUGCCCAAUGGGCGAAAGCCUGAGGCAGCAACGCCGCGUGUGGGAUGAAGGCCCUUGGGUAGUAAACCACUUUCAGCAGGGACAAAAUGACGUACCUGACAGAAGAAGCCCCGGACAACUACGUGCCAGCAGCCGAC
Molecule: ribosomal RNA, 481 nt
Filed under: uncultured soil bacterium
Lineage: Bacteria
Description: bacterial SSU rRNA
Rfam family: Bacterial small subunit ribosomal RNA
Source: RNAcentral